GUUAGGAAUAUUGGACAAUGGGCGCAAGCCUGAUCCAGCCACGCCGCGUGAACGAUGAAGGCCUUCGGGUUGUAAAGUUCUUUAGCCGAUGAUUAUAAUGACUGUAGUCGGAAAAUAAGCCCCGGCUAACUUCGUGCCAGCAGCCGCGGUAAUACGAAGGGGGCGAGCGUUAUUCGGAAUCACUGGGCGUAAAGCGUGCGUAGGCGGUCUCGUAAGUUAGGAGUGAAAGCCCAGGGCUCAACCUUGGAAUUGCUCUUAAAACUGCAAGGCUAGAAUCUCGGAGAGGAUAGCGGAAUUUCCAGUGUAGCAGUGAAAUGCGUAGAUAUUGGAAGGAACACCAGUGGCGUAAGCGGCUAUCUGGACGAGUAUUGACGCUGAGGCACGAAAGCGUGGGGAUCAAACAGGAUUAGAUACCCCAGUAGUCC
RNAcentral lists this ribosomal RNA (425 nucleotides) under uncultured bacterium. Its description in RNAcentral is "partial 16S ribosomal RNA". It matches the Rfam family "Bacterial small subunit ribosomal RNA", at positions 354 to 796 of the family's 1533-position model. The record is from RNAcentral.